Molecule: transfer RNA, 79 nt
Filed under: Operophtera brumata (winter moth)
Lineage: Eukaryota; Metazoa; Arthropoda; Insecta; Lepidoptera; Geometridae
Rfam family: tRNA
About the family: Transfer RNA (tRNA) molecules are approximately 80 nucleotides in length. Their secondary structure includes four short double-helical elements and three loops (D, anti-codon, and T loops). Further hydrogen bonds mediate the characteristic L-shaped molecular structure. tRNAs have two regions of fundamental functional importance: the anti-codon, which is responsible for specific mRNA codon recognition, and the 3' end, to which the tRNAs corresponding amino acid is attached (by aminoacyl-tRNA synthetases). tRNAs cope with the degeneracy of the genetic code in two manners: having more than one tRNA (with a specific anti-codon) for a particular amino acid; and 'wobble' base-pairing, i.e. permitting non-standard base-pairing at the 3rd anti-codon position.
Source: Rfam by way of RNAcentral
UGUUCUAUGGCCGAACUGGUAAAGGCAUCGCCGGCGCCGAUCACAGGCGAGGUUGCGGGUUCGAGUCCCGCUGGAACGG